GAUGAAGAACGCAGCGAAAUGCGAUAACUAAUGUGAAUUGCAGAAUUCCGUGAAUCAUCGAGUCUUUGAACGCACAUUGCGCCCCCUGGUAUUCCGGGGGGCAUGCCUGUCCGAGCGUCAUUGCUGCCCAUCAAGCACGGCUUGUGUGUUGGGUCCCGUCCCCCUCUCCCGGGGGACGGACCCGAAAGGCAGCGGCGGCACCGCGUCCGGUCCUCGAGCGUAUGGGGCUUUGUCACCCGCUCUUGUAGGCCCGGCCGGCGCUUGCCGACACCCAACCAUUUUUUUCAGGUUGACCUCGGAUCAGGUAGGGAUACCCGCUGAACUUAAGCAUAUCAAUAAGCGGAGG
This 346-nucleotide unclassified non-coding RNA is filed under the name soil metagenome. RNAcentral describes it as "partial contains 5.8S ribosomal RNA, internal transcribed spacer 2, and large subunit ribosomal RNA". The stretch from base 1 to 120 matches the Rfam family "5.8S ribosomal RNA", at positions 35 to 154 of the family's 154-position model. The record is from RNAcentral.